AGUGAACGCUGGCGGUAGGCCUAACACAUGCAAGUCGAACGGCAGCACAGUAAGAGCUUGCUCUUACGGGUGGCGAGUGGCGGACGGGUGAGGAAUACAUCGGAAUCUACUUUUUCGUGGGGGAUAACGUAGGGAAACUUACGCUAAUACCGCAUACGACCUACGGGAGAAAGCAGGGGAUCUUCGGACCUUGCGCGAUUGAAUGAGCCGAUGUCGGAUUAGCUAGUUGGCGGGGUAAAGGCCCACCAAGGCGACGAUCCGUAGCUGGUCUGAGAGGAUGAUCAGCCACGCUGGAACUGAGACACGGUCCAGACUCCUACGGGAGGCAGCAGUGGGGAAUAUUGGACAAUGGGCGCAAGCCUGAUCCAGCCAUACCGCGUGGGUGAAGAAGGCCUUCGGGUUGUAAAGCCCUUUUGUUGGGAAAGAAAAGCAGCAGGUUAAUACCCCGCUGUUCUGACGGUACCCAAAGAAUAAGCACCGGCUAACUUCGUG
This 492-nucleotide ribosomal RNA is filed under the name uncultured bacterium. RNAcentral describes it as "partial 16S ribosomal RNA". It matches the Rfam family "Bacterial small subunit ribosomal RNA", at positions 29 to 507 of the family's 1533-position model. The record is from RNAcentral.